UACAGAGGUCCCAAGCGUUGUUCGGAUUCAUUGGGCGUAAAGGGUGCGUAGGCGGCGCGGUAAGUCGGGUGUGAAAUCUCGGGGCUUAACUCCGAAACUGCACUUGAUACUGCGGUGCUCGAGUACUGGAGAGGAGAUUGGAAUUUACGGUGUAGCAGUGAAAUGCGUAGAUAUCGUAAGGAAGACCAGUGGCGAAGGCGGGUCUCUGGACAGUUCCUGACGCUGAGGCACGAAGGCCAGGGGAGCAAACGGG
This 253-nucleotide ribosomal RNA is filed under the name uncultured bacterium. RNAcentral's name for it is "partial 16S ribosomal RNA". It matches the Rfam family "Bacterial small subunit ribosomal RNA", at positions 524 to 776 of the family's 1533-position model. The record is from RNAcentral.